This 453-nucleotide ribosomal RNA is filed under the name uncultured bacterium. Its description in RNAcentral is "partial 16S ribosomal RNA". It matches the Rfam family "Bacterial small subunit ribosomal RNA", at positions 28 to 506 of the family's 1533-position model. The record is from RNAcentral.
GAUGAACGCUGACAGAAUGCUUAACACAUGCAAGUCCACUUGAACUUCGGUUUGGGUGGCGGACGGGUGAGUAACGCGUAAAGAACUUGCCUCACAGCUAGGGACAACAUUUGGAAACGAAUGCUAAUACCUGAUAUUAUGAUUAUAUGGCAUCGUAUAAUUAUGAAAGCUAUACGCGCUGUGAGAGAGCUUUGCGUCCCAUUAGCUAGUUGGAGAGGUAACAGCUCACCAAGGCGAUGAUGGGUAGCCGGCCUGAGAGGGUGAUCGGCCACAAGGGGACUGAGACACGGCCCUUACUCCUACGGGAGGCAGCAGUGGGGAAUAUUGGACAAUGGACCGAGAGUCUGAUCCAGCAAUUCUGUGUGCACGAUGAAGUUUUUCGGAAUGUAAAGUGCUUUCAGUUGGGAAGAAAAAAAUGACGGUACCAACAGAAGAAGUGACGGCUAAAUACGU